Stegodyphus mimosarum is the source of this 73-nucleotide non-coding RNA. NCBI's taxonomy places the organism in Eukaryota, Metazoa, Arthropoda, Arachnida, Araneae, Eresidae. The record is from Rfam.
GUCUUCGUGGUGUAGUAGUCAGCACUCUCGGCGCGUAUUCGAGAAGUCCGUGGUUCGAAUUCCGGCAAGGGCA